Acinonyx jubatus (cheetah) is the source of this 3695-nucleotide long non-coding RNA. RefSeq lists it as uncharacterized. The record is from RefSeq and is a predicted model, not a curated record. The transcript has 2 exons. NCBI's taxonomy places the organism in Eukaryota, Metazoa, Chordata, Mammalia, Carnivora, Felidae.
CGGCCCUGGGGCGGGGCGGGGCGGGGCAGGGCAGCUCAGGACCAGCUGGGCAUUGCCCAGCUGAUCUGGCUCAUUCUUCCCUCCCUGCUGGAAUUCUAGGUGAGGGGAGGCAGGGGGCGGGAACUCCAUUCUAAGUUUCAAAAUUCUAGAGCAGUCAUGGACCUUGGAGACCUUAUUAACCAGCACCCCCCCCCCCCCCCCCAUUUCACAGAGGAGGAGACAAAAGAAUAAAAGACCUUCUUAAGGACCUACAGUAAAUUAAAUCACAAGGCUAGGAUUAGAACUUGGGACUUCUCAGAGUCUAGAGGAGGUGGGCAGUCUGUAACACAGAAAGCAUGGGCCUUUGCCUGGAGCCGGCAUCCUGCUUCUGGUGCCUACACCCUUCUGUGUGACCUUGAGUAAGUCACCCAAUCUUUCUGGGCCUUAGUUUCCUACCUGAAAACACAAAGAAGAAUGGAGAGGGGAUGAGGGUACUUGGAUUCAUUUAUCUCUAAGGUACAUCAUGGUUCAAAAAAACUAAGAAGGCAAAAUAUGUGGAGGACCUGGCACGUUGAGCCCCUCAAAACACAGGUAGGGCAGGACUUGCCUCGAUGUGUAUCCACUUGAACCGGGUCAGAUCAACCUUGUCAAAGUCCGCAGCAGACACAUCUGGCAGGUUCCUAAGUCAUAGGACAGAAACAACAGAAAAGGCAUGAUGGUGAGGUCAGCCAAGGCUGGGAUCUCUAACUGGUUGCUGGGGCCCCUUUGCCUGGUGCUGCCUGCAGCAUGGCCAGAAACUACAUCUACAGCACAGGCUUCUACAGCACAGGCUUCUGAGGCUCAGCUCCAGGAUAGGCGCUAUUCCAGGCUAAACUCCUGACCACUCCUUGCCCCACUCAGUUCCAUCCAGACAGGGGAUUAGAAGCAGUUUGCUAGAAUGCCCUUUGGGUGUUGGAGGCUGUGAUAUUUUCUAAGGGUAAACUCAACUGCAGCAUGUGACAAGAGGCCAGUUGAGUGCCUUGGAGACCACAUCUCCCAGAAUACUCUAAGAGCACCAGGGACUACAAUUCCCAGAGUUCCCCGCCUUGCCAGCAGCACACACAGCUCCCAGCAUGCAAUGCCCUGGUGAUCUACAAAAGCUAUGGCUGCUCUGGGUCUGGUCCUGUUCACUUCUGGCGUCCCAGCCGUGACAGCACCACCGUUCUAAGUUCGGCGGCUCUGUGUUACAACUCCGAGGUCAAGCCGAAUCUAUCCAGUUAACUAGCUGAGUACCUGGGCCUUUCUGAGGCUGCUUCUCCAUUUGGUAGAUGGGUCCAAACCCACCAGCUUGUUGCAGUUGAAGGUAACGUGUGUGGAUCUCCCUACACUGAGGCCAGAGGGCAACAAACGUUUCUCCUUGGAACUCCUCUCCUUCCCUUCCUGUGAAUACCCAUGUGGUGUCCUUGAUCAAAGUUGCUACAGAUUGUUACCUGAUGGGCAGAACACUAGGAUUGACCAAGGUGAAGGUCAUUGCUUGCAUAUAUGCCCACUCACUUAUUCAUUGUGACACACUGAGCCCAGAGACCACUGGCCAUAAAGCUUGUCCUAGGAUAAUUGCCCCCUCUUCCCCAGGUCCAGUAGUCAUGCCGGGCAGUAGGGACAGCCUGAACCCCAGGGCUGCUGGGUGUGGACCACCUCAGCCCUAACAUAGUACCUGGCACAUGCUAGAUUCUUAGUAAGCUAAAUGUCUGAGAUUCUUCAGGAGGCAAUCUAGGGGAGACAAGAAGGGUCUGGGCCCACAGGGCCUCUCCCUAGCAGCUUGGGACUUUAAAGGGAUUCCCUCCCCCCAGUUAACAUGGCAUCAGAUGGCCCUGAUCUGCUGACCCAAUGUUCCCCUUCCCUCUACUUCAGCAACAGCUGUGAAUUGUGUGUGGCAUUUGGCCUGGCUUCAUUAUGCAGGGAGCUUCGCGGUGGGCUCAUCUCUUGUGAACACCCAAACCCAGCUCCUUGGUGCCAUGCUGCAGGCUGGCAACCCUGGGGCUGACCCUGGAAAUUCCAGUGAGUCCCCUUCAGGGCUUCAGAUGGUUUGAAUCACACCUCCUGUCCCCCGCUCCUCAGAACAAUUUCCCCACACCCAUAGCCAGGCUGCUGAUUGGCCAAUUACGGAGGAAUUACAUCACGAAUUAUGUUUUGCGCAGGCCUGCCCGCCCAUCCUUGGUAGUGACCGAGGCCAAGUCACCAGGCAGAACAAAGCACAUCUCUUCCCACCUCACUUCUCUCCUAAUUGAAAACAAUUCAGAAAUCACUGAGCAGUUUGGCAUGAGGACAAUUUCUGGUAUAGAGAGAGGCGGCAGAGAGCAGGCAGUUGGGAUGCCCGUGGUGGCGAGGGAGGGAACUGAUUGGUGGGCCGUGCCAGGGCGAGGCCGGGGGGGCCUUACGUGUCGUAGAGCACAAUGGUGCGGGAGCCAUUGCAGUUGUUGACGAUGCAGCAAGAGCAUGGGGUUUCCCCUCUGCCCUGCCAGGCCACCUGAGACACAUCCACGCCCCGCUGCCUGAAGUCGGCCACCAGGAAGCUUGAGGUGGAGCCCGAGCCAAGGGAAGGGCAAGGAGACACAAAUUAGAGCCUACGAGUGGCCUGGGCCUCCCUCAGGGUUGAGGAGGAAUGCCGGAGCAGGGGUGCCUCUCUGAGAAGAAGGGUCCCGUUCCGGGAGUUUGGUGAUGGCGGCGGCAGCUGGCAAGGUGCGGACAGGUGUACAAACCUGUAGGCAUGGAGGAUGGUGCGGCUACCACUGGCCUCGUUGAUGAUGACUGUGGAGAUGGGGACAGAGCCCGUGGUCUGAAAGACUGUGUAGCGUAGGUCCACAGAAUAGCGGCGGAGGUCAUCCAGGACAAAACUGCCGAGACGGAGUAACCCAGGGGAGGUGUAGUUCGACAGGGUUUGGGGACUGGAGGGAGGCGGCAGGGACUCCGGCUGCAAAGGGUUUGGGGACUGGAGGGAGGUGGCAGGGACUCCGGCUGCAAAGGGUUUGGGGACUGGAGGGAGGCAGCAGGGACUCCGGCUGCAAGCAGAGGGGGCUAGGAGGGAGCCGGGAAUCACCAUGCUGUCAGAGGCUAUGCCAGGGGGCAGGAGAGGCAGGGGCACAGAGCCUGGAACUCAGUGAGAGAAACACUAAGGGAUGUUCUUUUAGGUCCUGGCUGAGGUAAACUCCAACCCGGAUCCUGUCCUUCAGUCUGACUCAAGCCAGAAAGGAUGUGCUCAGUGAACCCAGAUGGGGUAGAUCUGGGGGCCUGGAGCACGUGCCCUGUUUGAACGAAGCAGGUGAGGGCACUGUGGUCUGUCUCAUGCAAAGCCUUGGCAGAACUGAUAAUUACCAAGGUGGUACUUCGCUCCCCAGCUGCCCUCUACACACUCAUCCUCACGGUACUCUUCUCUCGGGAGUCCCUUGAGUGCUACUGGGAUUCCACUCAGUCCGCGGCUGCCUCCGUGAUGCCCGGCCAGGAAGUGGUGCUGCCUUGGUGAGGCCACCCACCACCCUCACCUCUCGUGGCAAGGUGAACCCCGCAGGCAGUGAGCUGGCUCCCAGUGCCUGAUGCUCCUCGACGUGGGGCCUGGUCCAGGACUCUUCCCCAGAAUCCCCUCUAAUCAGAGUGAGUGGGAGGUGGACCCUGGGGGGGACUGCGCCACCCCCACGCUUCCUGGCCGCAGCGUCUCUGGAAAGUGUCCUAUGACCGCUGGU